Molecule: long non-coding RNA, 656 nt
Organism: Drosophila sechellia
Lineage: Eukaryota; Metazoa; Arthropoda; Insecta; Diptera; Drosophilidae
Exons: 5
Source: RefSeq, a predicted model, not a curated record
UGCAAUGGUUUUGGAUUCUACAAGUUUGCGAUUAAUCUGGAGGUGCGUUGGUUGCAGUUAAUGUUAUUUCCGUCGAUUAUAGUUUGUAGCUUGUAUCUUAAUAAAUUAGGGAUUAAUUGUAAAUAAAUGUAUUUUGGUUUUAAUUGCUUUUAUUAAUUUGUGAAGACUGUUUAUUUUGGUCAGCUUCGGGUUCGUAGUCUGGGAUUACUAUUUUGAUUACAGUGGUGGGUUGUCCGAGCAUAAAUUCAAGAAUUUCCUCUCUGGUCCUUAGUCCUUUUCUGUAUUUUUUGAGAUUAAUCUGGAGGUAAGUAUUGUGUUUGUUAUUAUAAUUGCUUUAAUAUUUGUUUAAGUUUUCAGGUACGUUUUGUAGCAGCUGAUAUUAAAGCCGUCGCAGCUGGUAUGCCAAGGUUUGCGAUUAAUCUAGAGGUACCAGUUUGCGAUUAGUCUGGAGUUUUCAGGUACGUUUGUAGCAGCUAAUAUUAAGGCCAUCGCUGCUGGGAUGCCGUGGCUUUGGAUUCCACAAGUUUGCGAUUAAUCUGGAGGUGCGUUGGGUGCAGCUAAUGUUAUAUCAGUCGAUUAUAGUUUGUAGCUUGUAUCUUAAUAAAUUAUUAAUUAAUUGUAAAUAAAUGUAUUUUGGUUUUAAUUGCUUUUAUUAA